RNAcentral lists this ribosomal RNA (342 nucleotides) under Escherichia coli. RNAcentral describes it as "partial 23S ribosomal RNA". It matches the Rfam family "Bacterial large subunit ribosomal RNA", at positions 144 to 524 of the family's 2925-position model. Lineage: Bacteria; Pseudomonadati; Pseudomonadota; Gammaproteobacteria; Enterobacterales; Enterobacteriaceae. The record is from RNAcentral.
CACACUAUCAUUAACUGAAUCCAUAGGUUAAUGAGGCGAACCGGGGGAACUGAAACAUCUAAGUACCCCGAGGAAAAGAAAUCAACCGAGAUUCCCCCAGUAGCGGCGAGCGAACGGGGAGCAGCCCAGAGCCUGAAUCAGUGUGUGUGUUAGUGGAAGCGUCUGGAAAGGCGCGCGAUACAGGGUGACAGCCCCGUACACAAAAAUGCACAUGCUGUGAGCUCGAUGAGUAGGGCGGGACACGUGGUAUCCUGUCUGAAUAUGGGGGGACCAUCCUCCAAGGCUAAAUACUCCUGACUGACCGAUAGUGAACCAGUACCGUGAGGGAAAGGCGAAAAGAAC